CCUACGGGAGGCAGCAGUGGGGAAUAUUGCACAAUGGGGGAAACCCUGAUGCAGCGACGCCGCGUGAGUGAAGAAGUAUUUCGGUAUGUAAAGCUCUAUCAGCAGGGAAGAAGAAAGACGGUACCUGACUAAGAAGCCCCGGCUAACUACGUGCCAGCAGCCGCGGUAAUACGUAGGGGGCAAGCGUUAUCCGGAUUUACUGGGUGUAAAGGGAGCGUAGACGGCUGUGCAAGUCUGAAGUGAAAGCCCAGGGCUCAACCCUGGGACUGCUUUGGAAACUGUGGAGCUAGAGUGCUGGAGAGGUAAGUGGAAUUCCUAGUGUAGCGGUGAAAUGCGUAGAUAUUAGGAGGAACACCAGUGGCGAAGGCGGCUUGCUGGACAGUAACUGACGUUGAGGCUCGAAAGCGUGGGGAGCAAACAGGAUUAGAUACCCUUGUAGUC
RNAcentral lists this ribosomal RNA (441 nucleotides) under uncultured bacterium. RNAcentral's name for it is "partial 16S ribosomal RNA". It matches the Rfam family "Bacterial small subunit ribosomal RNA", at positions 338 to 795 of the family's 1533-position model. The record is from RNAcentral.